This 96-nucleotide transfer RNA is filed under the name Paraburkholderia ultramafica. RNAcentral's name for it is "Burkholderia ultramafica tRNA-Arg". Lineage: Bacteria; Pseudomonadati; Pseudomonadota; Betaproteobacteria; Burkholderiales; Burkholderiaceae. The record is from RNAcentral.
UUCGCGAUGCGCCGCGGCGCGGCGAGAUUCAUUUCGGCUGGGUGCUGGAAGGCCGCGCGGUGCAGGACGUGUGGAUCAUGCCGCCGCGUCGCGAGC